This 263-nucleotide long non-coding RNA is filed under the name Callithrix jacchus (white-tufted-ear marmoset). Its description in RNAcentral is "lncRNA (ENSCJAG00000060456.2)". The record is from RNAcentral. Lineage: Eukaryota; Metazoa; Chordata; Mammalia; Primates; Cebidae.
GCAUGUGAGCGCACAGGGAGGUCCGGAGCAGCAAGCUUGGGAGCGCCUUGCACUCUCUCUGCUUUGACCGAGCGCCUUGCUGUGUAUAACAGGACCCUCGACUUUUCCACCAGCUUGUCCACUGAUGAAAAGGAGAAGCCAGUCAGGAAUCAGGUUUGUGCUGACAUUUCCUUGAGCCCUUUUGCUAGAAGCAAACAGAGGCUGGGCUCCUGGCUCCACUUCUUCUCUUCCUGGCUGUGCAACCUCAAGCAAUAUUCCUUUUA